Long non-coding RNA from Lutra lutra (Eurasian river otter), 11220 nucleotides. RefSeq lists it as uncharacterized. NCBI's taxonomy places the organism in Eukaryota, Metazoa, Chordata, Mammalia, Carnivora, Mustelidae. The transcript has 7 exons. The record is from RefSeq and is a predicted model, not a curated record.
UUGUGCAUUAUUGGCAGGGCUUAUUAAACCAAGGCCACUUGUGGUUAUUGAAGAAUCUAGGUCUGCCUCUGCAAUGGUGGGAAAGAGUUAUCAGAUCCUGUCCUCUGAUGUUUGUGGAUUUGGUUUCACUGCUUCUACUAAGCUAAGUGCCUUUUGCUUCCUUGUUUGGUGAGGGUCUUUUUUUCUAGUCUAGUUAGGGGGACAGAGAAGUGGGAGAAGAGAAUGGAGCAAGUCCAAAUCAAAGACAAGUAGCAGAGGUAGAAAUGAAUAAGAAUAAUGUGUUCUCUCUGGGAAUUUGUACAAGGACAAGGCUAAUGAGACUUUGUUUUCAAUUACUUAAAAUGUAGUCUGUCAUUGAGAAGAUGAUGUAAUGACUUUAAAACAGAAAACAAGCCAGAAUCUUACACCACAUUCAACUACUUGUAUUUUUGCACAUUCUUGCCUAUUUCUGUUGUCAUCAUCAUGCAUGCAUAAUGCACAUUUCAUUUUAUGGCCUGAUUUUUUUUCAGUUAACAUUAGAUAAUACGCGUUUUCCUUUUAAAGGCUGAAUUUUGAUGAAUAGACAAUCCAAAUUCGGAUACUAUAUGAUAAUUAAUAAAAUUAUCCUCCUACUUUGUGAUAUUCACAUUUUCUUCAACUAUUGUGUUGUUUGUUUAUUCAUUUUUUUGUUAUCCUACUAAACACCGUCAUGGACAUCUUGGGACAUUUUGCAUAUUUCAUUUAUUGUUGUUGAAUUCUUACCUUUGCAGAUAUUCUAAAAUUCCUAUGAGUGACAUGGUUGGGGAAAUACACCCAGGCAUCUUUAUGACUCUUGGCUACUAUAUAAAAUAAAAGUUUUAAUUUAAAAUACCACUUCGGCAAUUUAAUCACAAAAACCCUUCCAAGUAUUGACUAUUGAAGUUUUUUUCCCUACUUUAAUAUAGAAGAAACAGUGCUUCAAAUUUGUUUUCAUUUGUACUUCUCUACUUAAUGGCAAAGUUUAAUGCUUUCCAUGUGUUUUGUUUUUUGUCUGGAUCAUGUUGUGAAAAAUAAGCUGCCAUAAACUUUCAGAAUUUUUUGAAAGCCCCCCCAAAUUGCCCCUCCCAUAAUAUUUCCUAAGAAACUCAGAUUUCCAAAUUAAUGAAAUAUAAGUGCUUAAGACCAAAGCAGAGAGAAGUGUCAAGUUAAUUUGUCUUCUGUUUAGCUGGUUGAAUGCCUUUCAUGUGUAAUUCAAGUCCUGUCAAGAAUGUUUUAAGGGAUAUUGAAAAUAAAACAUAGACAUCACCUCCCAAAAGUUUACAUUCCAAAAGAGCUAUCAUCGUGUGACUGAUUGAAAAAUUGCUAAACAUUGUAAGAUAAGGAUAGAACAAGAGCUGUGGGGAUUCUGAGAGUGGAGAGAUUAAUUCUAACUUGUGCUUUGGAAUGCGAGGCAUCAGAGAAAGUUUCUGGGACGAAAUUGCAUCCGAGCUGCAUGAGGAGGAUCUGAGGCAGGAGCCUAUUUCAGGGAAGUGAGGGAAGUGUGUCGGCAAGAACACUUGGCCCAUUUUAUGUGAACUCCUGAGAUUUUAAAGAAGUCUUCCAACACGGAGCUACUCUUCUAUACAUGGCAAAUGAAGUCAGGCAAGGAUGACCUACAGAUUAAAAUUAUAUUGUGUACUUUCAAGGCCUAAAAUUUACUGUGCAUCUCAGUGUUUGUCAACCCCUUCCAUGACAGGGCACCCAAAGAAGCUGGUGGUAUUUCUUUGUUAUAGUGGGGUCAACAGACAAGGCUGCUUCCCACUGGAGGAGUCUGGCCCAGAACUCCAGCUGCUCCCAGUCAGAAGGCUGGAAGGAUCAAUUUCUUGUAAACGGUUGGGCAAACACCAUGUGAGCAGUUCUACAGUUAGAUAAAGAUGACUUAUAAAAAUAGUCACCAGAUUUAUUCUGGAUGAUAAAUAAUCAAUGAAUUGGACAUUGGGAUUGGUAAAGAAAAAAUAACCAUACAAAUUAUUAUGGUUUUGAUUGGCCCUACCUUGACAAGGCUGUGUACCACGGGAUAGAGACAUUUCCAGUAUUAUUCAGAAAAUGCCAUACUAGAACCCUGGAAUUGUAGACAUAGCAGUCCAAGCUUGGAAAACAUCCAGGGACAGGAAAAUUACCUGUGGAAUAUGUUACAGGACUGGCUGAGGAGAAUUAUAUUUCACAUUUAUCUAGUAGUCUCAUUUCAUUGAGUUCAAAAAAUGGGAUCAAAUAAUGUUCACAUGCCAAACAGGUAAAAAGAUAUCAAAUAGAUUUUUGAGGAUCUCCAUUUAACAAAAGGAGCCAGUCAUUUUAACUAUUUGUUUAAACCCUGUCUUGUUCUAGAAGUUGUUUCAACUAGACAGGCUACAUUAGUCACUCAAGGAUUCAAUAGUUUAAAGGUUGGGAGGUUAGAAAACAAUUUAAUGAAGGUCUUUGCAUAAGAGAAAAAAAACAGAUUUGCAUGGAUAUGAAAAAAAAUUGCAGUGCUCUUGUGGAAAAAUUCCUGAAAAUCUUCAGUGCACCACUAUGCUUAUGAUUAUAUUAAAAAUUCUAGCAGAUGUGCUUUUCUUCUAAAUUAAGAAAAUAAAGCAAUAUCAUGAGCUAAUGCCACAUCAAAGUGGCAUGUUUCAACACUUCGGCCUCAUGUGUAGCCAGAGUCGAGUGCUCCCGGAGGCCUGGCUCACCCCACUCUUCCUGGAGGCAGAUGUUGGAAUGGUCACUACAGGCCUGGGAAGUCAGCAUUUUUUGGGUCUCCUUCCAGAUUGUGGUGAGGCCCUGGACAUGCUUUAUCCCACCUCAGUUUCUCUGGUGAGGCCCUGGGCCAUGUAAGGGGAUUGUGGUUAAAUGGAAAUAUUUGAAGAGUUGCCACAUGGAAUAGGGAUUUAGGUCUAUUCCGCAUCAUCCCAGAAUUGAAUUAGGACCAAGAAGGUGGUGAUUGUUACAGAGAGAUGGAUUUAGACUCUACAUAAAGAGGAGGAAGAGAGAAAAUUACGUCCCCUUAACACGACUUCUUACUAGGGCAAAAAGCUCAUCUGUGCUAUUUCAUUUCAUUUCUUUAGCAACCGAUGAGGUGAGGACUAUUGAUUUUUACAGACUAGGACACUGAGAGAGGGUCGGUAACAUUACUAGGUCAUAUCCCUACAGAGGGCGUCAGGACUAAGACCAGGGUCAACUUAAACCUGAUCAGUUGUAGGAAAUUAGCUCAUUAGCUCAUAGCUCACUCCCUUAAAGAAAAUGGAGUAGAAAAAAUCCCCCAAACAACCCGAAAGUUAGACUUUACUUAAUAAGCAACAAGCUACUAUGGGAUUUGUGAAUGGUCAAGAUGAGCAUAAAAUGUCAAGGCAAAGAUUUAGGGUGGGUGGGGAAGGUGGGAACACUGGCCAAGGCAGUACGUCUGCACUUAUGAUCCAUAUGGAAGGAUAAUCCUCCAGGGGAAAACCCAACCAUUUUGUAGGAGACAGAUCCCAAGGAACCAGCUGGUGGGCUGACCACCGGCAACACUGAGGCUUAUUUUAAAUAAGGAACCUGUCAGCUUUUCUUUGAAGAAUUUUCUAAUAAAUAAAAAUUCCCCAGAUGCAACUGGCUGCCUUGGGAAGACAGUGAGACCCUUGCUUCUGGGGAUGUUCAGACAGAGCCUGGAUGUCCGGAUGUCAAGACAGAAGAAGGUCAAGAGGAGCAUCUUAAGGGAAGGACAGACCAUGGGCUGCUGCCUCCGUUUCUUCAGGUUACAGAAGUGCGCACUCAUCCCUCUUUUGCAAAGGAUUCUGAGCCUGUUGCUAGGGUAGCUGCAGCUUCUUUGCAACAGCAUGGACGGUCUCCAGCACUGGGGGCCGUAGGCGAUAUUUACCUGGGAGUCAGGAUGCCUGUGUCCAAGUACCAGCUUCGUGCUGGGAGAAGCAGUGUUUGCCAUCAGGUAAAAUGGAUGUUCCAGGAAGAUGUGACACCCUUCACUGGCCUCCAGUACCUCGCCACAUAGUCGUGCACCCUCAACCCGAGCAAGAUAAACCCUGCAGAGACUCAUCCUUUUACUCUAGGGUUGGGAAACCUAGAUCCACACGUGAAAAGGAGUAAAACCCAGAUUUCCUGAUUCCCAUCCCAGACUCAUACGAUGGAAAUGCACGGCUUUGUCCUCAAGGUUCAAGGUCGUCCUUUUGGCUUCUCGAGGUCCUGUGCUCCUUUGCUUCCUCCAUACACAACAUUUAGUGGCUAGAGUUCUACGUCGCCAGGCUGAACUUGCUGAGGCCGUGUUUCACGGUUCAGACAAAUGCUUGAUGCUUGUUUUCAGUAUCCUUGAUACAAACUGCUUGGAUAAGUCUACUUGUCAACUUCUCCGUUUCAGUUAUCUCUUCCAUUUUUUGUCUCAAGAAUAUUUAAGGAAGAAGCAUUCUGGGACUGGUGGGAAAAAUUCCAAAUCUGGCCUUAUUUCUAAGGAGAGGAAACACGUCUGGAGUAAAGAAAACUCAACCAGAGGUAGCCCCUCAAAUGAGAAUAACUUCAGAUCUUCUGUCCCACGUCCUUGAAACGAAAGGCAACUAUGUCUGGAUGUUACAUAAGCUUGGGGUCGUUCCGCUACCGGCUUUGCAGAUGGAUACUGCUUUGGAUAACAGGGAGGUUUGAAUCGUUACAGCACUUAGAUACAAUGGUUAUCCCCACUUCACAGAUGAGGAAACUGGCAUAAAGAAAGGUAGGAAAGCCUGGAACCUCUGUGAGGAGUUCAGUCACCGCAACUGUGAGUCAAAGCUGAAGACUGGUUUAGGAUUGGCUUUUCCUAAAGCAGGACCUAUGGAGGAGUGGAAAUUAGCUGAUGGAUGACCUGGGCAGUCUUCUUCCUGGGCAGGGAACAUGUCCUGCAUAGCUCCUGCUGGUUUGAGGCAGUCCAGGGUUUACCUUAGCAGGGAAAGGAGAACAUUUUUGGAAGAGGAAGAACCAAGUUGUUUAAUGACUCUCUUUAGACCUCACCUCCCUGUAUUCCUUACGCAACACUUUUUUUUUUUCCUUGAGAAAAUGUGGUGGUGUUUAUCACCCUGAACACAGCUUGGAUCAUACUUCCCACUACUCAAGAGCCUCCAAUAAUGGUUUCCCAUGGCCACAAUCAGCAAGUCUCCAAACUUUCUUAAGCCCACUGGUAAACAAGAUUUUGCUGUGCACCCAAAUGGAUUUAUAAUAUGUGUGUGUGCAUGUGUGCAAAGCCAUGCCAACAUAUUAUGCACACUAUAAAAAUAAAGCCAAACAGAAAUUAUAAAAGAAGAGAUAAAUAUAAAAUAAAGAAUACAAUGUAUGCUAAUCUUCAUAAUGUCAUUCUAUCUUUCCUACCAUCACAAGAAACAAUCAACACUCCAGGCAGAGUUCAUCAUUAAUAGCAAUGAAUGUGAACCCAUAUUUCAAGUAUUUUUCCUGAGAAUUUUGAUUUUUUUGUUGUUGUUGUUUGUUUUGGCCUACUUCUUGCUCUAUCUGAUUAGAUCAUCAUUGGCUGUAACCCCUGAAAUGUGGCCAGUGGAAAGCCAGGAAUAGGAGAAAAGUCAGCUCUGCCAUUUUCUUGUUGUUUGCUUGGGUCUUUACAGGAAUUUUUAAAAACCAGUUGUCCAUUUUGUCAGGGUUUGUUUAGUUAAAUCUAGGUAAGGAAUCCAUAAAUUUAAGAGACCAGCUACAUGAAAACGUCAGUAUGAAUACCUCUUGGGCUAUCUAGGACAAAGAAUCUCCACCCACCCCUCAGAAUGAGCUUAGUUGGAGAUGUGACGUGAAGUCAUUUGAUGUGGAGAUCCAACAAGGGUCCCACAAUCAAUCUAUAUAGGAAAUAAUAGGACUUCUAAACUUCUUUUAUGUAAAUAAAAGUAAAUAUAAAUGAUGACUGCACAUUUUCCUGGAAGCAUGCACACUUUCUUGGAAACCCCUUAUCUACCAAAAUCAGAUUCUUUAGCCUUCCAUGAUUGGCCAUCUACUCCAGCCAUCACCGAUCCCCCCACCCAUUGCUAUGAUUGCCCCCUCACUGCAUGGUACAUAUGGCUGGACAUGUUUCUCUGAAAACUUUUUUCCCCCGGGACUUUGCUGUGACUGUUCCUUCUGUUUGGAACACCUUGAUUUCCAUUACUGUCUUUCAAAAUUUUAUGCCUCCAUUGAGGCUCACCUUGGCCUCCACCCACUGUGUGAAAUAAUAACAUUUUUUUGACCUCUUAUUACAUGCUGGACAAUGUAUUAUCUCAUUUAACAUUCACAACAUUUCCAGGAGAUGGAUACUAUUAUGAGAAAGCUCAGACAGAACUGUUCAAAGCCACAAAACAAGGAAGUGAGAUAGCCAGGAACCAAACCCAUGAGGACUCCAGAUCCCCACACUCUUUCACUGUAUAUGUGCUUUAAUUUCAUUCGACUUGUUUGGACAGGUAGAGCUAACACGAAACUCUCCCCCCUUUCUUCUUGUGGGGAGAGAGAAUUAGUUGCUUCCUCUUCAAGUUUCCACAGCAACUUGUUUGCAAAUAUCAUGUAGGAAUUACUUCACCCUGCCAUAUAGUGCUGUCAUGUGUGCAUACCUCUCAUAUCCUCAGAUAUACUGUGAGCUGUUUGGCCAAGGGACCACACUGGAUCCUUCACAGCACAUAGCAGAGCCAUAGUAAACAAGGUCAUGUAAUGAAUGAAUUAAUGAAUGAAUGGAAGAAUAAAUGCAUGUGUGGAAAACAAAAGAACAAAGGUCCUAGGUUGGGUAUGAUUCCUUUAAACUGUAAUUUGACAUUCUCCUAGUGGUCUGGUGUACAAACUAUACAGACAUAUGAGUGUUGGUCUAUAAUAUACAACAAAGAUUUCAAAAUGGAAGACAAGAGUUCCAUUUCCCAACAUUUGAAGAAGCACUUGAAAGUUAUGUUAUAUUAUACUUUAAUAUAUAUGGACUGGAUGAUAAAGACUCAAAGUUGUGUUUACAUAAUCCAACUUUCCAAACAACUGAGUGCAGUAAAAAACUGUCACCUUACAAAGUAGCACUUGAUAUCUUGGACAACUGGGGAAGGGUUUAUUGGACAGAUCAUUCUAAAGGUGACAAUAGUUAAUGAAGUUUACAGAAGAAACUUUAGCUCAUUUAAUCCCAAAAAUAAUGUGUAUGUGUAUACACACACAUGCGUGUGCGUGCACGCACACACACACAUGCACACACACAUGCACACCCUUCCCCACGGUUUAGGCAUUCUUCUUUCUCCAUUUUACUGACUCAACAACUGAGACUCAUAAGGAUGAUGUGACUUGCCCAAAAAUCACAUAAUCAAGCAGUGACACAGCCCAUACCCAAACCCAGGCUUUUAGACUCAAAUCCUUUAAUCUUUUCCCACUCUGCUCCUGAAACAUAAAAUGAACCCUAGAAUGUCAUACAUUUGAGCUAUCAGAAACUCUUUGCCAUGGGCAUAGAAUAAAUUGUCUCUUUUUCAGUGUUGUUGUUGUUGUUGUUGUUGUUUUUGAAAUGCUCUUCAGUGUAAGUCUACAGUCUUGAGGAUUGUGCAUGGCAGGGAGGGACUAGUGGCUCAUAAUCCCUAGAUGACUAAACAGCCCAGUCCAUCUGUGAUAAAUAUCCCUUCCAAGGGCCACAGGUGUUCACAACAGAGCAAGCACCAUUCUUUUCCGCCUCAGUGCAGAAACCAUCAUAGAAACAUUUCAUCCUCCACUCAAUGAAUCCAUCCUUCCUUUUUAAAUUUUCUUAUUAAUGUUUGACUGUAUCCUUAUGCAGAGGAGCAAGAAAUAGCUCUCUGACUGAUAAGCUGUGUAGUAAAAUGGACUGGCCGCCAUGCACCCAGUGGAGUCAUAGAUGUUAGUUACAGAUAUGAGAGAGGGCCUCGUUCCUAGUCGCCAAAGGCUAGAAGAGACAAAGGCAGAGCCCAACACCUCAGUGUCUGCUUUUCUCCCUCCCCUGAACAUGGUGCCCACACGGCAACAAUGGGCUCUUGAAGGAUAGGCCCCUGAACCCAUCCUCAAGUACAUCAUGUAUAUGAAAAGUGUGGAAAUGGAGGUAGAAACUAGAUUUCAUUUGGGGUAUCCCUAGAGGACAGGACUAGAGGCAAGGGUGAAAUUAAAAGUCAUCAGCUUUCUACUCAUCCACCUAACAGAGAUGGACAACAUAGAAAUGAAAUAGUGAGCUCACUGUCAUAGGAAGCAUUCAAGCAAAGGCUAGACCAUCCUUCCCUGAGAGUGGUAUAGAGAGUAUAUAUUUAGAGAGUGGAGUGUUUGGCUAGAUCACUGCUAAAAUACCCUUCCAGCAAUGGCAUUUUGUGUUCCUCCAAAUAUUCCACACUUGAAUGCCUCAGGAGAUGGGUUCAGACAAAGCUCAUCUGUUCCAUAAUACUUGGCCACAGUACAACGCCUGCUGCCUGGUCACAAAGCAUUUCAUAGACAGCUGUUACUGCCCCUAUUUCAGAAAUGCAGUGAAAAGGGAAUUCAGAGACAGGUGAGGGGCCCGCCACCACGUGAGCAGGUGGGAAGAGGCCCCCAGCUCCAGUGCUGCGCACUUACUGAACCUACACAAUUCUCAUCCUAACUCAGUGAUUUAUGACCAUGUGCAAUAGUCCCACCACCUCCGGGAACACCUUUGUUUCUCCCUCCUAGGUUACAAAAUCACAAAUCUCAGUGUUUUAAAUAGUCUUUGAAUUUACAGUGUUUACAGGUAAGUAAUGUUUCCCACCGACUCUAAUUGAGAACUAGAAAAUGCAUCAAGCCCCAAGGAACUGAGGGAAUUCUGUCUGGGCUUAGGGGUAAAUACGGGAAAAGUCACAGCCAAGUCUUCUGCCAGCGUGUCCCAGGAAAGCAUGGGGCCAGUGUUUACGAAGGGAAAAUGGUGAGUUCCGGGAGUGGGAAAUGUAAUACAGUUUGUGAAGGUUGCAAGCAUUUGGAGCUACAAGAAACAAUAAUGGCACAACUAGGAGUAAUCUUUCUCUUGAAAGGUCUUUGUAUUUCACAGAUAGGUAAGCAGCAGGACUUAGGAGAAAACCAGGAAUGGGGAAUCAGUAAACCGGGCCCACCACUGACUGCUGUGUGAUCUCGGGAGGACCCACAAUCUCCCUAAGUCUUGGGUUUCUUCACCAAGAAUGACGAUUUCCACCCAGGAUUGAUUGGAGGACCAGAAGUGGAAACCAAAGCAUGGUGAUGGGAAGGAACAUGGGUCCCGUUCUAUAGUGUCGGGACCAAGAAAUGAGGUCUCCCUAUAGUGGUUGCCCACGGCAUGGUACUUUCUCUCCUUCUGAGAACAACACCAUUACAUAACUGUCUGGGACAGAGUCUCAGACCACAGAGAUUUCUUUCUGCCCAGCUGCACCAGACACACAUACCUGGGACGGAAUCCGGAAGAUGGCCACUUCCACAUCAACUGGGGAGCCCCAACACCUACCUUUCUCCUCUCCACCUCCACUGCGUUACCCUCUCUGCUACCGGGCAAAGCAUGCAACCUCCGAUGCUGCCUUACAUCAGGGAAGUAAUCUCUGGCCUGUCUGGUUCUCUGCCCUUAGAGAACGUACCAGCCAUCAUCCAUCCUUUGUAAGAGUCCUCCAAGCAUUUCUCCCUUCUGCUUCUCCAUCAGGGCGGCCUUUUCUGUGAAGUUCUCUAAUCAUGGGCUUCCCCAACACCCACCCCUCACCAUCAUCUUUACCUCAGAAAGUGAAAUAAAGAAAUUCAAGUGACUCAUCUAUCCACACAGCCAGAAGGGAGAAGCAGAAAGUACAGAAACCAUCAUAGAAUGAUGAGUAUGUCUGCAGGUCUCUUGGCUGCUUCAUACGAUCGGCUGAGCUUCAUGAAAGGGAAGACAGAAAAAUCUGAGUGGUGCCAUAUUGUCUCCAAAAGCAGCCGGCAUGAAAAUGAAGUAUGACUUCCACCUUCCCAAGACGCAAAGUGUCUCCCUCCUCACGUGAUCAAAUGGGGCUCAGCAGCUGGCUGGGCAGCCUUGGGAGAGAGCCUACCGGAUCAACACCACUAAGCCUCAGCUGUCCUCCACCAGCCAGGGAUACCCCCUACUUCAGUGGUCCCCUCCCCAAGGCCUGGGACCCCAUUCCACGUCAGCCCUCUAGAAACAGAGCAGUGUCUACUGCAGACACUCAGCAGGGAGCCAACAGGGUGUGCCCUGCUUGGUAAGCACAACCCAUUGGCAGCACUGGGCUUGACAGACCCCAAAUUCUAUACUCUUCAGAUGACUAGAGGCCUGCGAGACUAGUGUGCACGAUGAGGGAGAAUCAGAGAGGCAGAGUCUGAGAGUCAGCCAGAGGGAGACUCCGUUCUCGUCCACUUUACAUAUCAGGCAUCUGCCUGAGAUUUCACCAGGAAGACACAAAAUAAACAAAACAAAAACAGGGUCCAUCACAAUUACAAACAAAAAGUUUGGGAAUAGCCUUGAAAACCCCCACUGGUCUAGCCCAGUGUUUCUCAAACUUGAGAGGAUCUCAGAUCUCCUAGAGGGCUGGAUAAAACACAAAUGGCUGGGUCCCUCCCCAGGGUUGCUGCUUCAGAAUUUUGGGGUGAGGCUGAUGUUCUGGAUUUCUUACAAAUUCUCAGUGACUCCAAUUUUGCUGUUCUGGGCAAUGAACUUUAAGAACUAUGAUAUAACCCAAUUUUCCCUUCAGAGACAAGAGAGGUGAUUCCUCCCAGGUGCCUUAGCCUGUUGGAGAUGAACCAGAGUCUCUGAUAGCCCCCAGGCUGCCUCUUCCAGGGCUCGUCCAUCACACCCCAUACCUGCUCUGGCACAACAGUCCCCUGGGCAGAGAAACCCACUUGGAUCUGGGCUCUCAAGCAGCUUCACCCUUGGGACAGUGAUCAGAGGGGAGCAUUCCUAACUCAGAGCCCAUGCUCGGCCCACCUAUGUUCCCAGUUUGGGAAGUGGCAUCAUGACCCCAGCACUUCAGGGUGCUGGGUUCCCCACACUGCACUUGUUUGAGGCUUUAGUCAUCAGGGAGCCUUCCAGGAUCACAUUCCUGUAUUCCGUCCCCCAACACAUCUUAAUUGAGAGCUCCUAGGUGUUGGCCACUAACUUCUGAGAUCCAUCCAGAAACUUCUGAGGGACAGGUUCUUCCUGGCCCUUAAGGACUUCACAGGGAGGAAAAGUAAGCCUAAUCAAGUUGUUACCUCAUGAAGAGCAAGGAGUGAGUAGCUCAGGGGAGUGAGGGAGAGGAGUGAGGAGGGUUUCAUCAGGCAGACAGGCAGGCAAAUGUUAGCAGACAAGGGGCAUGGGGUAGAGAAGACAUGUUCAGUGCAAGGAUAAAAUUAUAAUAAACAUUGAUUGAAUAUCUACAA